UACAGAGGUCCCAAGCGUUGUUCGGAUUCACUGGGCGUAAAGGGUGCGUAGGCGGUCGGGUAAGUCUGGCGUGAAAUCUCCAAGCCUAACUUGGAAACUGCGUUGGAUACUAUCCGGCUCGAGGAAUGGAGGGGAGACUGGAAUACUUGGUGUAGCAGUGAAAUGCGUAGAUAUCAAGAGGAACACCAGUGGCGAAGGCGAGUCCCUGGACGAUACCUGACACUGAGGCACGAAAGCUAGGGGAGCAAACAGG
This 253-nucleotide ribosomal RNA is filed under the name uncultured bacterium. RNAcentral describes it as "partial 16S ribosomal RNA". It matches the Rfam family "Bacterial small subunit ribosomal RNA", at positions 524 to 776 of the family's 1533-position model. The record is from RNAcentral.